UGGGGAAUAUUGGACAAUGGGCGCAAGCCUGAUCCAGCCAUACCGCGUGGGUGAAGAAGGCCUUCGGGUUGUAAAGCCCUUUUGUUGGGAAAGAAAAGCAGUCAGCUAAUACCCGAUUGUUCUGACGGUACCCAAAGAAUAAGCACCGGCUAACUUCGUGCCAGCAGCCGCGGUAAUACGAAGGGUGCAAGCGUUACUCGGAAUUACUGGGCGUAAAGCGUGCGUAGGUGGUUUGUUAAGUCUGCUGUGAAAGCCCUGGGCUCAACCUGGGAAUUGCAGUGGAUACUGGCUAACUAGAAUGUGGCAGAGGGUAGCGGAAUUCCUGGUGCAGCAGUGAAAUGCGUAGAGAUCGGGAGGAACAUCCGUGGCGAAGGCGGCUACCUGGGCCAACAUUGACACUGAGGCACGAAAGCGUGGGGAGCAAACAGGAUUAGAUACCCUGGUAGUCCACGCCCUAAACGAUGCGAACUGGAUGUUGGGUGCAAUUUGGCACGCAGUAUCGAAGCUAACGCGANAAGUUCGCCGCCUGGGGAGUACGGUCGCAAGACUG
RNAcentral lists this ribosomal RNA (550 nucleotides) under uncultured bacterium. RNAcentral's name for it is "bacterial SSU rRNA". It matches the Rfam family "Bacterial small subunit ribosomal RNA", at positions 355 to 896 of the family's 1533-position model. The record is from RNAcentral.